This 2152-nucleotide long non-coding RNA is filed under the name Physcomitrium patens. RNAcentral's name for it is "long non-coding RNA (PPAT_LNC010287)". The record is from RNAcentral. Lineage: Eukaryota; Viridiplantae; Streptophyta; Bryopsida; Funariales; Funariaceae.
AUCGAAUCGCGGAAACCUCCAAAAAUCCUUUUGUUUCAAAGGCCUCUGAUGCUUCGAUUUGGGAUAAAGUGCAGGAGGAACACAGGAACUGCAGGACCCACUAAAAGCACGUUGCUUUCGAGGUCAAGCACCCUAUCACUCUCCGUUUUCUUGGUCUUUCGAUAUAUUGAUUAUUCAACUGGUUUUAACCGUCCCGGCCGUCGUACAGCUUUGUUCCUGACCACGCUGCAACUGUACACCGUGUUCGCCGACUGGAAGUCUAGAUUCGGUUUUGUGGUGGAGGUUGCGGGUGAACCAAACUGUGGAGUGGUGCGUUAUUUCACCUCGGAGUCUUCGAUUUAGCUUGCAGUUACUUCGUUGUGUGGGUUACGCUGCUUUGUGUAGCUCCGUGUUGCUGUUGAAGAGAGUUUUCGUCGCGGCUGCUGCUCGGUUGUCGUCGUAUCGGUUGGUGGUGCCCUCGUGUUAGAUCGUCUUCAUUAGCGCUGGUAAAAAUUUAUCCCGCAGUGCAGUCCCCUCAUUGUGGGCAUGGAUGGUUUGGUGUAGUUGCUAACUUCUCGUUCUCUCUGAACGUGGUGAUACUUGUUUCUGAUAAUUCAGUUGACGGAAAUUUUCUUGAGAUUAUUUAAAAGGGCAGAUGUGCCCAGUUUUUGUUUUUGCCGGACGAUGACUUCAGGGAUGGUUUAAGACCUAAAUGGAUGGUUUACUUUGGAUUAGAUUGUUAGUAACCUGAAGAGAAUUGAAGACCUCCGCUCUCUGUGGUUGCCUAUUACCUGCAGAAGGCAAGGUUGGGGAGCGGAUGAGAAUGAACUUUAUCAAUUCUUGAUACUUGAGAAUGUUCAGUGUACCUAUUCGCUGUUAUAAAUGCUUCAGAGUCAAAUGGGUUGCCGUAAGCGUGAUGAAGUUUACAACGUUCUGCUCCUAGGUCAGCAAUGUGUCUGUCAUCCUGGAAAGUACUUGGAAGGUCCCCCUAGCAGUACAGCACAGCUUUACGAACACUGUAGUAACUACUUCGCACGGUGAUGGUCAUGAUGUCGCAGUUUUUCUGUAGUUUUUUUAAGAACCGAAGAUGUCGGACAUUGCGAAACAUCAGAAAGGUCCCACAAAGGGCUCAAUCUAUGACACUAGUACCAAGUGUAUGUUUGCACUAUCGAAGUACACGUCUGCAUGUGAGGAUCUGCCUACAAUCCACUGGACAACGUGUAGAAAAUCACUAUAAUCUUAAAAGCGUAACCUCUUACUUUCGUUCUGUUGCUGCUCUUCCAAAAUGGCUUCUCUGUUUGUCACUCUUGAUACUCUACCAGGAGCGCAUUAAGUAUGCAAGAGUCAUUUUAAAACGUGGGGCUUUCUCAUUCCAAUAGUGAAAUAGGUUAAAUCCCCCCCCCCCCAAGAAUAUCAGUUGGACGAGCUUUUCGUGCAGUUGCAGGUUUUGGUUUGGGAGCGAGGCAUUAAUGACAAGGCAGCAACGUGUUAAAUGUCUAUUUUCAAUAUACAACUAAAGCAACUAACUCGAGUUGAACCAGUUCCCUCCUAACCGUGCAACGUCACUUCGAGUGCACGAAUGGGUCGCAAUGUCCCCUUCAACUGAAUAAAAUAAGUUGAUAACUUGAGGAAGCAAGUGCAACCUUCCAAUGCUUCUCCUGAGAUAAUAUCGGAAAAGUAAAAGAAAAGACUCUUAUGCUGCAUUGAAAAACUUAUCAGAUGUGAUUGCUACGAUUUAGAAAUAAGUUUAGUUCAUCUUAACUUGCGGGGCAAAUGUCUUUAGGAGGUUGUUGAUUUUAUAUGAUGUGUUUUGAUUGAACCAUUUAUGAACAGAAAGCUGAAUGGUAUUGUAGCAGUCAUUUCUGGCAUCUGAAAUUGUCUGCUAUGUGUUCAGCAAAUCAUGUUGAUAUGAUUAAAGCCAUCCUAGCGUCGUCUGACGUAAGCUGGAGUGACCUAAAUGAAAGAGUGGAACCAACCUGGCAAAGCUGACGGUUUAGGGCAUGUUUUGAUCAAUGAGGUGCCAUAGCCACCAGAGCACAAGAUGAACCUGACAAAGUGCUCGAGUGUCCAAGCUCUAGAGAUAUUAAAGUGGGAGAAUCUGAACAAUGAUUCAAAGUGCUUACAGGAGAUACGAAGACAGAACGACAUGCGAUGAUCCAGUUUGUUCAGUUCG